Molecule: ribosomal RNA, 172 nt
Filed under: uncultured bacterium
Lineage: Bacteria
Description: partial 16S ribosomal RNA
Rfam family: Bacterial small subunit ribosomal RNA
Source: RNAcentral
GCUUACGGUGAAUACGUUCCCGGGCCUUGUACACACCGCCCGUCACACCAUGGGAGUUGGUUCUACCCGAAGACGCUGCGCUAACUUCGGAGGCAGGCGGCCACGGUAGGGUCAGCGACUGGGGUGAAGUCGUAACAAGGUAGCCGUAGGGGAACCUGCGGCUGGAUCACCU